GACGGAGGGGGCUAGCGUUGUUCGGAAUGACUGGGCGUAAAGGGCGCGUAGGCGGUUCAUUAAGUGAGGCGUGAAAGCCCUGGGCUUAACCCAGGAAUUGCGCUUCAGACUGGAAAACUGGAGUACGAGAGAGGAAAGUGGAAUUCCUAGUGUAGAGGUGAAAUUCGUAGAUAUUAGGAAGAACACCGGUGGCGAAGGCGGCUUUCUGGCUCGUAACUGACGCUGAGGCGCGAAAGCGUGGGGAGCAAACAGG
This 253-nucleotide unclassified non-coding RNA is filed under the name uncultured Alphaproteobacteria bacterium. RNAcentral describes it as "contains 16S-23S intergenic spacer region". It matches the Rfam family "Bacterial small subunit ribosomal RNA", at positions 524 to 776 of the family's 1533-position model. The record is from RNAcentral. Lineage: Bacteria; Pseudomonadati; Pseudomonadota; Alphaproteobacteria.